RNAcentral lists this ribosomal RNA (505 nucleotides) under uncultured bacterium. RNAcentral's name for it is "partial 16S ribosomal RNA". It matches the Rfam family "Bacterial small subunit ribosomal RNA", at positions 28 to 507 of the family's 1533-position model. The record is from RNAcentral.
GACGAACGCUGGCGGCGUGCCUAAUACAUGCAAGUAGAACGCACAGUUUAUACCGUAGCUUGCUCCACCAUAAACUGUGAGUUGCGAACGGGUGAGUAACGCGUAGGUAACCUGCCUGGUAGCGGGGGAUAACUAUUGGAAACGAUAGCUAAUACCGCAUAAUAUUGAUUAUUGCAUGAUAAUUGAUUGAAAGAUGCUAUUGCAUCACUACCAGAUGGACCUGCGUUGUAUUAGCUAGUAGGUGAGGUAACGGCUCACCUAGGCGACGAUACAUAGCCGACCUGAGAGGGUGAUCGGCCACACUGGGACUGAGACACGGCCCAGACUCCUACGGGAGGCAGCAGUAGGGAAUCUUCGGCAAUGGACGAAAGUCUGACCGAGCAACGCCGCGUGAGGGAAGAAGGUUUUCGGAUCGUAAAGCUCUGUUGUAAGAGAAGAACGGGUGUGAGAGUGGAAAGUUCACACUGUGACGGUAUCUUACCAGAAAGGGACGGCUAACUACGUG